UACGUAGGGUGCAAGCGUUGUCCGGAAUUAUUGGGCGUAAAGAGCUCGUAGGCGGUUUGUCGCGUCUGCUGUGAAAACUCAGGGCUUAACCCUGAGCCUGCAGUGGGUACGGGCAGACUAGAGUGUGGUAGGGGAGAUCGGAAUUCCUGGUGUAGCGGUGGAAUGCGCAGAUAUCAGGAGGAACACCGGUGGCGAAGGCGGAUCGCUGGGCCAUAACUGACGCUGAGGAGCGAAAGCAUGGGGAGCGAACAGG
Molecule: ribosomal RNA, 253 nt
Filed under: uncultured bacterium
Lineage: Bacteria
Description: partial 16S ribosomal RNA
Rfam family: Bacterial small subunit ribosomal RNA
Source: RNAcentral